This 88-nucleotide unclassified non-coding RNA is filed under the name Pseudomonas moraviensis. The record is from RNAcentral. Lineage: Bacteria; Pseudomonadati; Pseudomonadota; Gammaproteobacteria; Pseudomonadales; Pseudomonadaceae.
GUAGGAGUGAGCCUGCUCGCGAUAGCGGAGUGUCAGUCAGCAAUUCUGGUCACUGACAGACCGCUAUCGCGAGCAGGCUCACUCCUAC